RNAcentral lists this ribosomal RNA (438 nucleotides) under uncultured bacterium. Its description in RNAcentral is "bacterial SSU rRNA". It matches the Rfam family "Bacterial small subunit ribosomal RNA", at positions 360 to 793 of the family's 1533-position model. The record is from RNAcentral.
AAUAUUGCACAAUGGGCGCAAGCCUGAUGCAGCCAUGCCGCGUGUAUGAAGAAGGCCUUCGGGUUGUAAAGACUUUCAGCAGUGAGGAAGGUGGGUAUGUUAAUAGCAUACUCAUUUGACGUUAGCUGCAGAAGAAGCACCGGCUAACUCCGUGCCAGCAGCCGCGGUAAUACGGAGGGUGCGAGCGUUAAUCGGAAUUACUGGGCGUAAAGCGCAUGCAGGUGGUUGUUAAGUCAGAUGUGAAAGCCCGGGGCUCAACCUCGGAAUUGCAUUUGAAACUGGCAAACUAGAGUACUGUAGAGGGGGUAGAAUUUCAGGUGUAGCGGUGAAAUGCGUAGAGAUCUGAAGGAAUACCGGUGGCGAAGGCGGCCCCCUGGACAGAUACUGACACUCAGAUGCGAAAGCGUGGGGAGCAAACAGGAUUAGAUACCCUGGUAG